AGCAGCAGCCACGGUAAUACGUAGGUGGCAAGCGUUGUCCGGAAUUAUUGGGCGUAAAGGGCUCGCAGGCGGUUCCUUAAGUCUGAUGUGAAAGCCCCCGGCUCAACCGGGGAGGGUCAUUGGAAACUGGGAAACUUGAGUGCAGAAGAGGAGAGUGGAAUUCCACGUGUAGCGGUGAAAUGCGUAGAGAUGUGGAGGAACACCAGUGGCGAAGGCGACUCUCUGGUCUGUAACUGACGCUGAGGAGCGAAAGCGUGGGGAGCGAACAGGAUUAGAUACCCGCGUAGUCCCUGUCUCUUAUAC
This 303-nucleotide ribosomal RNA is filed under the name uncultured bacterium. Its description in RNAcentral is "partial 16S ribosomal RNA". It matches the Rfam family "Bacterial small subunit ribosomal RNA", at positions 507 to 807 of the family's 1533-position model. The record is from RNAcentral.